RNAcentral lists this ribosomal RNA (292 nucleotides) under uncultured bacterium. RNAcentral describes it as "partial 16S ribosomal RNA". It matches the Rfam family "Bacterial small subunit ribosomal RNA", at positions 505 to 796 of the family's 1533-position model. The record is from RNAcentral.
GUGUCAGCAGCCGCGGUAAUACGGGGGGGGCAAGCGUUGUUCGGAAUCACUGGGCGUAAAGGGCGUGUAGGCGGGCGGAUAAGUCAGACGUGAAAUCCCCAGGCUCAACCUGGGAAUUGCAUUUGAAACUGUCCAUCUUGAGUGUCGGAGAGGAAAGCGGAAUUCCUGGUGUAGAGGUGAAAUUCGUAGAUAUCAGGAGGAACACCGGUGGCGAAGGCGGCUUUCUGGACGACAACUGACGCUGAGACGCGAAAGCGUGGGUAGCAAACAGGAUUAGAUACCCUGGUAGUCC